CAAUGCCACAGAGCUGCCCGCUGAACAGGCUUUGUUUUUCAGUCAUUGGAGUGGAAGAUAGCAGAGACUUGGAUACAUAUAAUAUCCCUGUAAUUUACAUCACUGAGAAUGGGUUUUCCCAAAGUGACCCUGCUCUACUUGAUGACAGUCAAUGAUGGGAGUAUUUCAGGCUGAAUUUACAGGAAAUUUUAUAAGGUAUAAUCAAAUGUCUCUUCAUGAGCUCCUGAGAGGCAAAAUGCAUUGCUGAAGCUGGACCAAAGUGCCUGGGACUGAGAUGUUUUAUGACAUUGUUCAGGGUCCUUCAGCCAAGAAGGGAAAAAGAUGGUGGCAGCUGAGAAUAUCAGUCCCAGUGUAAGUAGUUACAUUUUCAAGGAUUUCAGGUUGUGGUGACUAGCAGUUAUUCUCUAAAACUUAAUAAAUUACAGAAAAGAAUGCA
Molecule: long non-coding RNA, 436 nt
Filed under: Anas platyrhynchos platyrhynchos (common mallard)
Lineage: Eukaryota; Metazoa; Chordata; Aves; Anseriformes; Anatidae
Description: lncRNA (ENSAPLG00000031038.1)
Source: RNAcentral